GACGAACGCUGGCGGCGUGCCUAAUACAUGCAAGUCGAGCGGACUUUCAAGAAGCUUGCUUUUUGAACGUUAGCGGCGGACGGGCGAGUAACACGUGGGCAACCUGCCUGCAAGACGGGGAUAACUCCGGGAAACCGGGGCUAAUACCGGAUAAUAUCUUCCUUCGCAUGGAGGAAGGUUGAAAGGCGGCGCUAGCUGCCGCUUGCAGAUGGUCCCGGGGCGCAUUAGGUGGUUGGUGAGGUAACGGCUCCCCAAGGCGACGAAGCGGAGCCGCCCGGGAGAGGUGGUCCGCCCCACUGGGACUGGGACCCGGCCCAGACUCCCUGCGGAAGGAGCAAGAGGGAAUCGUGCGGCAGGGGCGGAAGGCAGGACGAACAACGCCGGGGGAACGAAGAAGGGCGUCGGGUCGGAAAGCUCGGUUGUCAGGGAAGAAACAGAUCCGUACGAACAGGGCGGUACCUUGACGGUACCUGAUCAGAAAGCCACGGCUAACUACGUG
This 499-nucleotide ribosomal RNA is filed under the name uncultured bacterium. RNAcentral describes it as "partial 16S ribosomal RNA". It matches the Rfam family "Bacterial small subunit ribosomal RNA", at positions 28 to 507 of the family's 1533-position model. The record is from RNAcentral.